RNAcentral lists this long non-coding RNA (228 nucleotides) under Brassica napus (rape). Its description in RNAcentral is "long non-coding RNA (BNAP_LNC020654)". Lineage: Eukaryota; Viridiplantae; Streptophyta; Magnoliopsida; Brassicales; Brassicaceae. The record is from RNAcentral.
UCCAGCUUUCCGGCUUACUCCGACCUUCCUCGUCUCCGCCGCAGUCAGAUCUGAGGUAGUGGAUUUCGCCGUACACCAGAAGCGCCGCGCAUCUCGCCGGCAAAAGAGGAUCCUCCCAAGAGGGCAAAGAGGAAAACAUAGGCAGGGAGGAGAGAGACCUCCGACUCCGGGAGUGGGCACCGGACAUCGGGGGCGCCGCAGAUCUAGGGUUACGUUCUUCUUUUGGUC